UGCGCUUGCAUGCUAACUAAAAUAAGUGACUGCAUUUGGAUUAUAGACUCUGGUGCCACUGAUCACAUGACCUCUAAUAAAGACCUUCUGUUUGAUUUUAAGCCUUUAGUAAUGCCAUAUCUAGUUACCUUGCCCAAUGGCUAUAAUGUUAAGGUAACAUGCAUUGGAUCCAUACAAUUCCUCUGUUUCACUCUACAUCAUGUUCUUUAUAUUCCCAGCUUUCACUACAAUCUCAUCUCUGUGUCCAAACUUGUAUGCCAGUUAAAUUCUAUUGUUCUAUUUACUAAAUUCUCUUGUUUAAUACAGGCCCCUUCUCUGAAGAGGCGACUGGAGAUUGGUAAAUUGGAUGAUGGUCUCUACAGGCUUGUGCAAUCUUCUUCUCUUGAAUCUCUUGAUCCUUGUAAAUACCAUUCUCCAUUAACUGUUGAUUCUGUUUCUUCCUCUCAUUGUACAUACCAUUCUGAAUUGAAUAAAAUAGAGAUGUUAUGGCAUAAUAGACUAGGCCACAUAUCAUUAUACAUACCAUUCUGAAUUGAAUAAAAUAGAGAUGUUAUGGCAUAAUAGACUAGGGCACAUACCUUUUGUUAGUAUGAAAGACAUGUCUUAUAUACCAUGUAAAUUUUCAACAAAGCAGCCUUUUCUUUGUACUAUUUGUCCUUUGGUCAGGCAAUCUAGACUACCCUUUCCUGGCAGUUCCAUUAAAACAACACAUGCUUUUCAACUCAUCCAUGUUGAUACAUGAGGUCCCUAUGCCACUCCUACUCAUAGUGGUUGUAGAUAUUUUCUAACAAUAGUUGAUGAUUUUACCAGAGCUACUUAGACCCACCUUAUGGGGUCCAAGAGCAAUGCCUUUCCCCUUAUCAAAGCCUUCAUUGCCAUGAUUAAAACUCAAUUCCAGUCUGUGGUACAAACCAUUAGGAGUGAUAAUGCAUUUGAACUUGGCUCUAGUAGCUGAGGCAGCAACUUCUUUCCUGAAAAUGGCAUACUGCAUCAAACUUCCUGCUCUCACACACCACAACAAAAUGGUGUACUUGAGAUAAAGCAUACAUACCUGCUAGAAACCUUAAGAGCUAUACUUUUUUAUACCUAGCUACCCAUUAGAUUUUGGGGUGAUUGUGUGCUUACUGCAACCUACCUCAUUAACAGGUUUCCUUCCAAACUU
This 1162-nucleotide long non-coding RNA is filed under the name Nicotiana benthamiana. RNAcentral's name for it is "long non-coding RNA (NBEN_LNC009800)". Lineage: Eukaryota; Viridiplantae; Streptophyta; Magnoliopsida; Solanales; Solanaceae. The record is from RNAcentral.